GGGUGCGAUCAUACCAGCACUAAUGCACCGGAUCCCAUCAGAACUCCAAAGUUAAGCGUGCUUGGGCGAGAGUAGUACUAGGUUGGGUGACCUCCUGGGAAGUCCUCGUGUUGCACCCC
Molecule: ribosomal RNA, 119 nt
Filed under: Eucalyptus grandis
Lineage: Eukaryota; Viridiplantae; Streptophyta; Magnoliopsida; Myrtales; Myrtaceae
Source: RNAcentral